Molecule: long non-coding RNA, 920 nt
Organism: Mus musculus (house mouse)
Lineage: Eukaryota; Metazoa; Chordata; Mammalia; Rodentia; Muridae
Product: predicted gene, 46273
Exons: 2
Source: RefSeq, a predicted model, not a curated record
UCACUUGAUUAGAUGAGGAGGGUUAAUCAGUUGUCUGCAUAGCUGAGUGUCUGGAAGGUACUGAAUAUAAAAUCUCCAUGAGCUGAGGUGACCCUGUGAAAGGAUCAGUCAACACCCCCUAUGGGUGUCGUGGGUUGAGAAGCACUGGGUUAAGGUUUCAUGAACUGGAGGCACAUCUACAGGAAGAUUACAGAAAGUGGCCACCAUGAGGAUGUCGGCGGUCUGUGCUGCAGCCUGAAGAUGCAUUGAUGUUUACAGGCCUGCUACAGCUGCAGGCCGUGUUAACAACUCUGCGCCCCACUGCCUCUCGGGGCUUGUCAGGGCUUGUCUGGGCCAGGGGUCCUACUGCAGAGGGGAGCUAUGUUUGUGGUCUGUGCUGUCGCCAGAAACCACGUGGACCCUGUGAUCCAUCAGUCUGUGUUGGGUUGGUCAUCCAUACCAUGCCAUGUGUGCCCAGUCCCAUCCCCCACUGGCUGUGAAGAGCAAGGAGGCUUCUUUUGCUGUGAUAUGGAUGACUGAAGACACACAGUUGAAAUAAGGGACAUGGAAGGCUUCUGUGACAACCUCUACCCACCCCAACUACCCCGCAAAAGUAACAGCCUCGUCAGGAAGCCAGUGAAGAGAACUCUUACAACAGUGUGAUAGGGUGCUGAGGUGUAGCUCUCCAUAACUGACGCUUCUGGCAGGGUUGUGGAAGGCAAAGGACUCAGUUCUCUCUCAGGGACAGGCCACUGGGAGUUUGACAACACAAAUGGGACUUUCAAAAAUUAUUAUUUUUAUCUUAACAUGUUUUGGGGAGAGGCUUGCAAGGGUGGGGGGCUGACACAGAAGGCCUGGAAAGCGAGUGUGAUUAAGGCCUGCACUGUGUUACUGCGUCACACAUAUUAAUAGGUUCCUAUGUCUUUUCUCGUACUAAUCUA